RNAcentral lists this non-coding RNA (189 nucleotides) under uncultured Butyricicoccus sp. RNAcentral's name for it is "Lysine riboswitch". It matches the Rfam family "Lysine riboswitch aptamer". Rfam says of the family: Riboswitches are metabolite binding domains within certain messenger RNAs that serve as precision sensors for their corresponding targets. Allosteric rearrangement of mRNA structure is mediated by ligand binding, and this results in modulation of gene expression. Lineage: Bacteria; Bacillati; Bacillota; Clostridia; Eubacteriales; Butyricicoccaceae. The record is from RNAcentral.
CAGAUAGAGGCGCGGUGUACAUGAGUAUCGUCUGCGAGGGGCCGUUACCCCGCCGACCACACGAAAAAGGGUUCACCGCCGAAGGUCGGCUCGCGUUACGGCGCAGCAGUCCUGGACGGCUCGGACAAUAUCCCGUCGUCUGUCACUGCCAUAGCAAUAUAAUUCUGCUGUGCCGGUGGAGUGCUAUUC